This 347-nucleotide ribosomal RNA is filed under the name uncultured bacterium. RNAcentral's name for it is "partial 16S ribosomal RNA". It matches the Rfam family "Bacterial small subunit ribosomal RNA", at positions 338 to 682 of the family's 1533-position model. The record is from RNAcentral.
CCUACGGGGGGCAGCAGUGAGGAAUAGUGGUCAAUGGACGCAAGUCUGAACCAGCCAUGCCGCGUGCAGGAUGACGGCUCUAUGAGUUGUAAACUGCUUUUGUACGAGGGUAAACCCCGAUACGUGUAUCGGGUUGAAAGUAGCGUACGAAUAAGGAUCGGCUCCCUCCGUGCCAGCAGCCGCGGUAAUACGGAGGAGCCGAGCGUUAUCCGGAGUUAUUGGGUUUAAAGGGUGCGUAGGCGGUUUGCUAAGUUAGAGGGGACAUGUCGGGGCUCAACCCCGAAACUGCCUCUUAUACUGUUGGACUUGCGCAUAGUUGCGGUAGGCGGAAUGUCUUGUGUAGCGGU